This is a non-coding RNA of Cinara cedri, 505 nucleotides long. The record is from the annotation of a GenBank genome assembly. NCBI's taxonomy places the organism in Eukaryota, Metazoa, Arthropoda, Insecta, Hemiptera, Aphididae.
CCUCACUGAGAUGGAAGUGUUCAUUACUGUUGUUUAAAUAAAUUAUUCGUCUCUACUACUGUAAGCUGUCCCGGUUUGGGGGUCAAUGUGCUAUAACUUAAAUAAAUAGAAUUAAAGUCCUACAAUCCAAAGUCCUUUGCGUUAUUUUAAAUGCUCCGUAAUUUAUUCGAAAUGAAGCGCUGCACACUGACUUCAAAUUACCAGCAAUAAAGAAUUGCAUCAGGGACAGGUCGUACCUAUUGGAGGCCUGAAUUCAAUACCUACAAAUGAUUAAAAUUUUCUGCAAGUGUAUAAAUAUAUUGUAAACAUUCAGCAUUAAUAAAAUGCUAAAACUUUUAUGGUAUUAGUACCAAUGAUAUUUUUAUUGAGUUAAUUUUGUUUUUCAUUAUUAUAUAUUGUUGCAUGAAGUAAAGAGAAGUUGCUCUUGAUUUUACUAAUAACUGUUAUUAUAAAUAUAUUUUCCAGAACGUUUUAAAGAGGAAAAAUAUAAGUUUCUUCGUGAAGG